This 10230-nucleotide long non-coding RNA is filed under the name Ooceraea biroi (clonal raider ant). Its description in RNAcentral is "uncharacterized LOC105284862". Lineage: Eukaryota; Metazoa; Arthropoda; Insecta; Hymenoptera; Formicidae. The record is from RNAcentral.
UUGUUCGCUAUUAAUAAUCAUUAAUUUUUCUCCCGUUUGUAAACUUGUAAUUAUCAUUAAAAUAAACACCUCUCGAUACAUUCACGCGUAUACACACACGUUUAUAAACAUGCACCACUCAUGAUCGUUAAAUUCGGAAAUAAAAUAAAACUAAAAUUAUUAAUACACAAUAAUAAAAAUUCUUUCUUUACGUUAUAUACAUAUAGUUUAAAUAUUUAUAUGAUGUUUGCUCAAUCUGUUUUUGCAAAAAAGAUUUUACGUGUGUAUCCAUGAAACACGAUGUGCACGUAUGCUGGCGCCAGCUACUGACGGGUGUCACAAGCGUCUGCCGAAAUCUCGCGUGGUGGAAAAGCGUCGGUGCGGUGAAGAUCAGAAAAAAGAGUGGUGGGUAUUAGAGGGUGGUAGGGCAGCGCCGUGAAAAGAGGGUGGAGUUUCACCGCGCAACGUGCUCGAACCAUGGAAGAAGUGGGAAAAACGGCCAAGUCACCCGCGCGUGCCUGAUUUUUUUUGUCCUAUCGCUAUCUCGCUCACUCGAUGGGGCUACUAGGCGUGGUUUAAAAAAAGAUUUAGCGGCUCGCGAGGGAGAGGUGGAGUCAGCGACGCGCGGAAUUCCAGAAUUUCACGAACUGCGACGUCGCGUGGAAAACGUCGGGGCGUCCAUCAUCCUGGUGGGGAUAGAGAGGAGAGAAUUCAUAGUCGUGGUGGGUUUGGUGGAACACGCGGCGGUGGCGGGCGUGCGGUCGGCGAGGAAAGCGCGAAGGGGAAACUAUACCGCUCCGGGCAGACCGAUCGAGCUCGACAACGGCUAGUUCAAGCGCGCGCCAACUCUCUUUCAAGAUAUUUCCUUGUGUUUGGCCCGUGUCAUCUCUCUGUACAUCCGUUUUGUUGUAAACGUACAUAUACAACAACAGUACCAGCUAGAGACAAUAUGUUGAACGAUCCUGAAGACUGCACGAGAUUUUCUACAUGAGAAACGUUUUCUUUGAUGUUUUCGUUAUGAAGUCACAUGUCUCUCAAAAGCUGAAAUUACUCAGAUAUUUAACUCGGAGGAUAGAAUAAGGAAUUAUUGAACCAAAAAAAUGUGUGUGUCGUGGAAGUGUUAGAAGUGUCAGUCGGAUGGAAGUUCAAGUGCUCGUAUCGAUGUAGUUAUGAUUCUGUGCGCAGGGAAGAUUGUCAGGGAAUGUUUGAAUGCGUGGCAUGCAUAGCAACAAUGUGCGCUGUUCCUUGGUUCGUAUGUCAAUAUUCUUUCGUACAUUUGAUAGGUGCUGGGUUCUACACAUUGGCAGAAAUUUGUUGGGCUAAUACACAUUUAACGCUAAUGGUCCCUUCAAUAACAUAACAAUAUUACAAUACACAGUGACAAAUAAUGUGAAAGAAAUAUCCAUAAACCAAAUAAAAUAUUGGUAUUAUCGUAACAGUUUUGUUUAGAGAGAGAAUAUUUAAUAUUGAUAAAACCACUGCGCUAUAUUCAGUCGUAAAAGAAAUCGGCCGACGAAAUGGAGCCAUCUGAUAGAAUUCGAGAGUAGGUUGUAAAAUAAACAAAGAAUACGAAAAAUCUUUUUUUUCCAUACUUUACUUUCCUCUAAAUUGGACUCUAAUGUAACGUAGUUGUACUAACGUACAUCGUAAAGUUGCUCAUAUGCAGUCACGAUAACUAAAUUAUCAGUUAUAAAUAAACCGUACAGCAAACACUUGGCGUUAAUGACAGUAACAUGCGCGAUAAGAGUUUUCCAGCAUUACUCAGUUUAAUGCAACGAAUAUCUCAAGUUUCCAUUAUAACUUUGGCAAAUCGAUUUAUGCUUUUCUCUGAUAACGAUACGACGUCGUAAACGAAUAAUUAAAAGCACCUACAACAGAUACGUGGACAAAGAAUUAUUGAAAAGGAAUAUACAAUAGGAUCAUUACAAAUCGUGCUCUACAGGUUAAGUCCACCAAAUAUAAUCCACCAGAUUGAUUCUGCAAAAAGGAUUUGCAACAAACAAAAUGUUGUUUUGCUUAUCUUCGGGUUAACGGAUCUGUUCUAUUCGCACAGUUGGCAUAUUCGCAGCGUGGGUAGCGCGUGACGCAUGCUGGCGAUGUCGGAACCUUCUGCUCCCCACCUUCGAAUUCGAUCUAUCCUCCCCACUGCGUUCGAUCCCCUACCGGUGCUCCUGCAAUGUACCGGACGCGACAAAGAUGGUGAGAUUCGCGUGUCUCCGGCUCGAGCUAAACGGAACACGUGCCGCCGCGGUGGGGGCGGAGGAGGAGCGAGAAUAGCGGGAAAGUGGGGGAUAUCGGUGCGCGACGAGAGGGGCAAGCCGAUGGCUCUCACCCUCGCACUUACCACACCCCUUCCACCAACCAGUAGAGCGCGGUUUCUCCCACGUUAGCAGCACUAACUGACGGGAUUUUUGUUACGCUUGGCCGAAGUUUCCGCCGUGAGGUUGGACGCUGGUGCCGUCUAGCGGCGAUCGCGCAAAGUUCCAAGGUCGUCUGAGUGGGGGAAGAAUACGUGGUGGGGACACGAGGGCGACGAGGGGGAAAGGGUGGAGGAGGAGGACGCGCUUUGGUGGGGCAAGUCCGGAGAACGUACUCGACGAGGAUGGGGACAUGCGGCUCUCAGGACGCGCAGAACAUCAGAGUGGGUUGAGAAGGACGGGCGCCUCUCUUUCUCUCUAUCUCUCUCUCUCCCUCUCCCUCCUACCGCCUGUCGCACUGUCCCUGUUUCUUCCGAUCACUUUUCUCACUUCCACGCUUCUCGCAGAGAGGCAGAGAAACAGAGCUCGAUGGCGGGGCGAGAGCCGGCUUACUACGCGGCGGAACGCUACCACGGCGCUCAGUCUUCAGCGAUCAAACCGCCAGGCAGUGUGGACCUUCCUGGAGCAAUCUCUUCUUCCAUUCGUCUCGCUUCUCUUCUUUUUUUCUGAUCACGGUGACGACAAUCGACAGAUAAAACGCAACAGCUAUUCUACUAUCAGUCGACUCAACGGUUGACUCAUCAGCGAUCUCAACUUUGGAGAUCUCUGGUUAAACUUACACCGAUAUCAAGAAGAACUUCAGAGAUAAGAAAUGGUCAACAGUUCGGUGCGCAAGUUUGAUGUGAAGAUAAUCGAAAUCCGGAUAGGUCUUCAGAAUACCUUGUGGAUGGUCAUUCGGGAUACGUGGGAAAUACAUUCACAUCAUCAGCAGUGAAGAACGGGUUCAGAAGAUGACGAACAAAUCGGAGUUAACAGAUGUUGAAAGUUUGUCGCGAAAGUGGUUACCAUUCUACGUUUUAGAAGAUGAACAUCACGAGAAUACAAUUCACCACGAAGAAAUCGAGAGCGAGAAGCUUCGAGGAAACGGAUUUGGCGAAUACAAUUUUUCACGCGAGAAGGAAGGAUUGUAUUUACGAAGAUAGGUGCGCGCAAUGACGCCAAAGUGCAACCGCAUAUACGAUUUCAGCGGAUAACACGAAAGUUUGUGCUGCACUGUGUUAAACCACGUGGUACGCUAAAUCGCGUGAGUCACCUUCUCCAUUUCCAUUCACGAGCGUGAUGAUUCGUGAUCUGAAUGGUGCAUAAAAUCGGGAUAGAAUCAUCCAGAUCCCAAAUGCUCACACUGUCCACGCAGACCGUUCAGGAACGUUAAAGGUGCAACGUAACAGUGACCACAACGUAAGAUUUCGUGGUAUCGUGCUAACGUUAUCCAACCAACGGUUAAACCAAUGAAGAGAGGCAGACCGCAGAGAGGCGCAACGAGAGAGUGUAAAAGCGGAAAGUGUAAAAUGUAAAAGUGGUAUAAAAGUGGCAUGAAACUGCACCACGACGUUUGCAAGUCCAAGUUUCGAGCAAGCGCAACGUCCACUGUAAAUUGAUGAACUCGUUACUCGCGGCCGUGUGAUCCGCCGACGGCACUUAUGAUCCGAGACACUCAGUAAUCAGGUAGACAAGUGAGAUUCGAAGUCUGGAAAGAAGAUUGCAACUGCUCAGUGACGCAAUCGGUAAGAUGCUUCGAGGACCGUUACGCCGUAAGCUAUAACGCAAUAAUCUGUUUUAAUAAGAAACAAGAUCCACAAUAAAGGCGCUGCUUCUGCACACUGUGCAACACUCAAUAUUUUUUAAAAAAUAGAUAUGCCGCGCGCUCGUAAAACCUUAUUUGACCGCUCUUCGAAGCGUUAGCUUGCAAUAAAAAUCCAUACAGAUUUCUAUUUUAAUCUAUCUAUCUCUGCAAAGUUCAAGAUUCCAAGCUUUAUGCAAUCUACAAGUACGAUUGUGCACACACUACUCUCUCUGCAUACUCUACAAUUACGAAAUGUCCGCAUUAAGCAAAGUCGCGCUGAACAAUAUUGCUGGGGAAGUCUAGGAAACGUUGCGCGUCGUGUCAUCGACGCUAUAUCUCGAGUCGAAUCAAAUGAAGAAUCCGGCAAGACGGUACGGCCCUGUCCACGGUGGGCAGAUAGGGUAUAAUCAUACCGAGUUUCGUAUCUCGAGGGGGCCACGGGAAGAUGGUCCAACAUCUGCCGCUGCAGGGAAUCUCUGCCCACAUGCUGGCCGGCUCGCGCGCACGUACACGUACGUACACGGGCAAAAAGUGACGUAGGUCCACGGUGGGUCGUCAUGUAAAUUCAUUCGAAACACAUGGCAGGGCUCGGAGCGGUGUUUCUCUUGUGCGCAAAGGGUUUCGUGGAGAAAUCUCUGAUGAAGGGCAGGGCGCGCAGGAAAACGGACGAUAACUUGGCGUGCUCUUACGGCACCGAUAUCUCGUACCUACGUUAUGCGGAUAAAUACUGGGCGAAUAUCGGUUUUUUUUCGUCCUUCUUCGGUAACGCGAUGUUCGAUAUUCUGGUCGUUCAAAAAUCAUCGCUAUUCUUUUGUACUGUUUUUUUUCUUCUCAGUAAAACGUUGAACAAUUAUACGAUACAAAAAUCUGGAAGCUAUUUUUUUAGAGGGGUGAGAAAUAAGUAUUAAUUAGUAUUAAUUAGAAUCGUCUUAAAUAUCGAAUCCCUCUAUAAUAUAAAUAAAACAUUUGCGUAAAUUUAUAAUCCAAAUGUGUUGCCGUAUUGUGCAUAACACAGCAUAAAAUAUCGGCUUCAUUUAAAAGCAGUUUACGGUAUACCUGACUACGUUAAUUGGUUACCACACAUUAUUUUAAUAAAUGUAUGUAUGCUCACCUUAGUGUUACAUUCUUUACCGUCAUUAUAUCAAUUAGCUACAAAUUUUAUGUUAAUUAAUAAAUAUCCGUUUCUAACAUCUCGUGCACUAACAGCUUUACAUUAUCGUUACACUCUCCGUACGUUGCGAGAUAAUAAUUCCGUGCCUUUAAUAAUUCGUGUAGCACACACGGUCUUUUUUGUACUGUACUUUUCGCACGGUCGUUGGAAAAAGAGAAAUUGAUUGAAAGGAAAAAGAAUCGUAGCGUCUACGUGCAACGUUGCAGAAAUGGCUCUAAUUAAAGUUCAUUAAGCCAGUUGAACAAUUAUCAUUAAUUAUGUACGUUGGCUGAACUCUUUAGACAUUAACCGUCACGUUUACGAGCCGCUGAGUUUGUUCGAUUUCACUUAUAUCAGUAUCUUGUCCUGAGAAGAAAGCAAGCAGAUGACACUCUGAUAUGACGCGGAAUGUGCUCGCCUUCGACGCACGGCGUAUCGUUCAAUGGCAUAAUACCCGAUACCUUAAACGAAAUUAGAAUCACAUUUCAAGUAAUUGCAAGUGAAAGACGUUUAAUUCCGAGGAGAGAGCGUGAGAGAUGAGCGAGCGCAAAAGCGAGAAUGAGAGAACGUUGGUGACCGGAACGGCUCCCGAAGGAGAUGUCGGCUCGUCGUCGUCGCGUCGUUCUCCUCUUUUUCUUCAGCGAAAGAGACGUCUUCGUCAUGUUCAGCAAGCCAGAAGAUAAAGAGUGGCAAGGGUCUUUUCGACGAGAGUCGAUUUCAAAAAGCUCGUGGACGCGUCGCGCCGUGGCACGAUAAAGAUAACGAUUUACGUUUGGCUUUAUCGCCGGGAAGCCAGGGCCAAUGACUCGGUGAACCAACCUCGUGCCUCGAUGCCGUGAUUUAUAAGUAUUGCGCACACUCCGCUUUCUGACAGCGUCGGAGCCAGGCGCUCCUAACGCGAAACAAUGACUAAUAACUAAUUAACGCCGCGCAUAAUUGCGCAGCUAUAAAUCGUUUUCUUCGACGUUGCGGGUAAUUUCGGGCAUUAUGCGCGGCAGCCAUGUAAAAUCAAUCGUAUCUCACAAAACAGAUUUAAUUUAAUCGCGAUUAAUUCGUGCGACAAGUGGCGUAAAAUUAUUGUCACAUCAAACAGUGGUUCCUAUAAUUAGCACAAGAUGAGGACAGACAAAUUUUGUUUGCAUCGUCCAUCUGUAGAGUGUUAUUAAUGUAAUUUAACAAAAUUGUAAGAUGACAUUAUUAUGUUAUUUUAAUAUUGUUAUUUUGAAUCAAUUAUACGAGUUUUGAUAUGUUCCUCGCUAUGUACGCAACUCCUCAAAUUCGAUUGUUGAAAUUACGUUUGACGAGAAAUAAAACUAUCUCCCAUAAUACCGGUCGAGGAUUAUCGACCGGUUCUUAUAAAAACAAAUACAGCUAAUAAAAGAGAAUGGGAGAUAACAGCUUGAAUGAAGACUUUUAUGAUGCAUUCUUGUUCGUGAAAACAAGAUUCUGGCAAGGUUUGCACGGCCAUGUGAGCCGCACGAAGUAGGCUGUAUUUCUCCUUGAAAUUUAACGAACCCUCUCGCAAUGGGACACCAUUAAAAAAAUUCCCGAGUGUCAUGUCGCAGGGCGCACGCAACGGUGAUGGACGCUAACGAGUGGGAGGAGGGGAAGGGGAGCGAAGAGGGAGGAGAAGGCGCACAGGAAGGGAUGUAGGGAGAAAAACGAGAAAAAAAGAGCGACGACAUCGCGAGGCGUUUCACGCGAACUUAUGCAAAUGCAGUGCAACGCACACACAUCGCGCAGUUAAGUAAUGUUUAUGGCUACGUACAGACACCAUAAUUUAUAGUUCUUGCAUUCCGGUAGGACCGCGGAUAGGACGUUUUCAGAUAAGAAACGGUAAUAAAGGACCGCGGAUCCCAAGCAGAUAGCACCGCGUCUACUUGAUGUAGACUGGGACCUCUGACUUGCUAGAUAUUUCUCGGCGAUUUAUUACAAGUUCCGCGUAGAAGUGCCAUACGCCAUUCGAGGUUCAACGUUCGAGGAACUGAAUGGAAAUUUCGAUGAACCAUAAUAAAGCAAAGUAUCACAUAAUCGGCAGCUAACACCAACGAAUCUUUCUCCCAAAUGCUUCCUGCGCAUGAACGCGUUUGUGACUUGGGGGCGAUGUAACAUUCUUUUUAAUUAUGCCUAUAGAUCUUGUAAAAUAGUAGUCGACAUUAGAACAGUUUAAUCUGUUCGAUCUCGUUCACAAACGUCGCGCUCGCCGAUUUCUCGACGAAGCAAGAAAGGCUUAUCGCAUGCGCGUGUAGACGGUAGUCUUUUAAUUAUUUAAAGCUGACAUCGAGUGCACUCUCUCGCCGAAAAAGUUUCUGCCGCGGCGGAAACUCGAAAGUGCAUUUCGUGCACGUAACGAACUUAAAUGCUCAGAGCGUGCACGCCGGUUGCCCCGCGACCAUUAUCGAAUCAAUAAGUGGGGAGGGGAGCCAAACUUCUUGAAUUUUGAACUGAUUGUAGUAGAUUCGUACUACCAGCUGGUUUCUCUCUUUCUCUCUCAUUCCCUUCAGAGAUCGAUAAAGGAUAUCGAUGAUCCGUGAAGAAGUUAUCACAACAACGCAAAUUCGCAUUAAAAAUAAUUUCAGAUUCUAAAGAUAUCUCUUCAUCCAUCUCUAUGUAACGUCACAUCGAAAACUAAACGCAGAGAAUAAUGAAGCCACAGAAAGGCAUCAUCUGCCUACGAGUACCGCGAUAGGAUACUGUUAAUUUAGCGUGACUAUAUUCUACACGCGCAACCGUUUCGACAGAUUAGGCCAAUGCAAUCUUGAUUGACAAACUGUUGCGGUGCAUAAUUAUUAUUCUCCACGCGCUACGGUGUGCUCGAAACCGCAAGGCACAACAUAGUGUGUGCCUAAGGGAAUCGAUAUUCUCAGGUUAAUCGUAUACGGAGGAGGAGCUUCUAGCGCCGAUCGUCACAUCUCCCAAUUAAGGCCUCGAGAUCAUUAACGAGCAAAAUAAUUAGGCUCUAGGCAACUAGGCGGACGACGAGAACAACGGUUCGUUAGCCCGUCUUCCUUCUUUAGGGACCGUCGGCUAUCGUGCUACAUCUGGCAGGAUGACGAACACAAAAAGCGGUAGAAGGCAAAAAGCACCUAUUCUUUAGGUGGCGGCAAGACACGUCGUGAAUUAAUAUGUCUAGCGGGAAGACUUAUACACCGAAUGCCUGCAUGCGAAAUCGUUGCGCUUGGAGGAGGCCGAGGUAUGCCCGUAAAAGCGGCCAAUUUUCAAAGUGAGUAAUUGCCGGGAUUCCUUUUUUGCCAGACCACCCGGUACGCCACGACCACCACGCACGGGAAGCGUGUCCCAGCGGCGAGAGAUGGAAAAAAAGUUUCGCCCCGAUUCGCGCGAUCCUGUAUAAUCUCCUGUAUAAUUCGUACAACGAGAAACACGCACCAUCGCACGCGGCCGGCGCGUCUCGCGAGCGGAUCGUCGCGGAAUAUCGCGCGAUCACCGAUGGCCAUCGGAUUCGAUCGGAGGCGACCCGUCCCGUGACUCGGGACUUUGGGAGUUAAAGCGCGCCGUUAACGAAACUUUAACGUCGGGUUAACGACGCGACACGCUGAGCCGGUAACCCAUAAAUGCGCGGAUGCCCAGGGGUUAAAAGCGAGAGGGAGAGAGCUGGUGAGAGGGACGAAAUGCGGGAAGGGGAGGGAGAAAUCUGUGAGCGCCACCCUUUCGUAUGCAAAUCCCGGGACACCUGGAGCCAAAGGCCGCAUGCAAAUCGCCGCUCGGGCCAUCUGAUCGGGCAGAACCUCCGCCUCUGAACUGGUCUCUGCUUUUUGCGAGCCCCAAAAAUCCCGCGUCUCUCCCAUAUUUUUUCGUGAUGGUAGAGCGUUGCUGGGAAUUCGGCUCGAACAUGAAAUUCAGCGCGAACGCGAUCUCGUUGUAAUUUCACCGGCGAGGCGUGUCUGCGUUUCAUUAAAUCCCCACGAUCGAAUGCAUAUUAACAUUUGCUCAUCAUUUUCUUCGUCUCUUUGUAUCAGCAUAAUCAGCCGUCGAUUUAAAAAUAUCCGCUACGACGAACCAUUCUUGAUUCAUUUCAGCCAUUAUCGAUUUCCCGCGAGUCGAUCGCAAAUCGCUCGAUCAACCGAAGAUCGAAUUGCAUGCGCGGUAAACGCAUAAUAAAUUGUAGCAGAUACGUAUCUGAAAUGACUUGCCAUUACGCGGGCUGGCCGAUUUAAAAAUCGGUGCGUUCCAUCAGCCGCAGAAAAAAAAUAACCCAACCGCUAAUGUAUUAUAGGUGAUCGUCCGACGGGCACGACAUCAACAUGGCGUCUCUCGUAAAGAACGUUCCGCAGAAUCGCUUCGAGCCAUUGAUUAAUAUCGAGCGAUUGAGGCUACCGUGAAUCGUCCGUUAAAACGAUACCACGCGAACUCGCUGGCGCGCGCGCGUGCAACCGUUUUUCCAUUGAUUUAUUCCGCGCAAAAAGCAAGCGAGAAGCGCAUUUAUCGGGCGUGAUUAUCUGCAGCGGUAGCAGCGCGCCGUGGAAUACGCCGCGCCCUAUCGUAAUCAUUAAUUGUCGCGCAGAUAAAUCGAUUGCGCGCGUCUCUGCGCGCGACACGAGUAGUACCGCGCUCGAUGAAACAGCAUCAGGUAGAAUUGAGCGACGCUGUAAGAAGAGCGCUGGAUUUUAUUUAACAUGCCGCGUUCUUCCUCGUGAACGCGUCACGCGUGCGUUUCUGGUCGCCUUCGAAAGCUCGUAGCACCUUCGGACUUUUUGCGCUGGCGAUACGCAAUGUGCAGGAUAUUUCCGGGAGUCUAUAUUAAUAUUACAGUAAUUAUCAUAUUAACGGCGUUAUUUUAUGUGCAAAGGAAUAGAAUAGAGAGAACCGGGUCGUUCAAUUUGUACGUGUGGACACGUGACAACGGGACUUUCUUAGUAGGUCUAAUUUGCACAAGCUGGUCACCUAAGGAUUCUGGUUGGUCAGUUAAGUCAAUCAAGGCAGGAUUGUAAUUUCUAGUUCACAGUUCACGAGAAAAAAAAAACGUGAUAACAGUUUUCGUUAUCACGAAAAAUAUGCAAAGCCGUAUAUUUUAAGCUGCUGCGCUGAACCUACUCAGUUAA